UUUUUUGGAAUAUGUAUUUAUAGCGCCUGUGAUGGAUGUGACAGAUGGUACCACCAGUCAUGUGUUGGCAACCCACCAGUAGAGGAAGACCUUCAUUGUCUGGCAUGUACUGAAGAUUAGACCAAGUAACUGCUUUAUCCUGGUCAUGGCCGUGGAGGAUCCAGAACUGUUCCUGGGGAAACUGGACGUACGGCAGGAGUGCACUAUGGAUGUGAUGCUAGUCAAUCCCAGGGCACCAUCCCAGAUUUUAUUUUAUUUCGUUUAAAAAUAUAUAUAUUUCUAUUAAGCUAUAAAUAUGUAUUUAAGUUUUAAUUUGCAUUGAGGUGGAUUUCUUUAUUAUAUAUUUGCAUAAUUGUAAUAUAUGCAUAAUUUAGUUUAACACUAA
Trichomycterus rosablanca is the source of this 385-nucleotide long non-coding RNA. RefSeq lists it as uncharacterized. The transcript is spliced from 3 exons. The record is from RefSeq and is a predicted model, not a curated record. Lineage: Eukaryota; Metazoa; Chordata; Actinopteri; Siluriformes; Trichomycteridae.